Molecule: long non-coding RNA, 211 nt
Organism: Melanotaenia boesemani (Boeseman's rainbowfish)
Lineage: Eukaryota; Metazoa; Chordata; Actinopteri; Atheriniformes; Melanotaeniidae
Exons: 3
Source: RefSeq, a predicted model, not a curated record
AUACAGAGGAAAUGAGAGAUUCACGUCUGAGCACAACUCCGGUGGCACAAAUUCAAUGUUGUGGACAAUUGCAGAUGAAGAGGAAUGUGACACCUCUUUGAUCAGAAGAGCAACAGAUACUUUGAGAACAUCAGGAGGGAAUCUAAGUUGUCAGAAGACAAAGUGGAAGAGGAUCGGAGGGCCAAAGCUCUCAACAACCGAAGACAUAGAC